Transfer RNA from Fonticula alba, 83 nucleotides. It matches the Rfam family "tRNA". Rfam says of the family: Transfer RNA (tRNA) molecules are approximately 80 nucleotides in length. Their secondary structure includes four short double-helical elements and three loops (D, anti-codon, and T loops). Further hydrogen bonds mediate the characteristic L-shaped molecular structure. tRNAs have two regions of fundamental functional importance: the anti-codon, which is responsible for specific mRNA codon recognition, and the 3' end, to which the tRNAs corresponding amino acid is attached (by aminoacyl-tRNA synthetases). tRNAs cope with the degeneracy of the genetic code in two manners: having more than one tRNA (with a specific anti-codon) for a particular amino acid; and 'wobble' base-pairing, i.e. permitting non-standard base-pairing at the 3rd anti-codon position. The record is from Rfam. Lineage: Eukaryota; Rotosphaerida; Fonticulaceae.
GAGGGUGUGGCUGAGCGGUUUAAAGCAAUAGACUGUAAAUCUAUCCACGAAUGUGAGCAUGGGUUCGAAUCCCAUCGCCCUCA